UACGUAGGGUGCGAGCGUUGUCCGGAAUUAUUGGGCGUAAAGGGCUCGUAGGCGGUCUGUCACGUCGGGAGUGAAAACUCAGGGCUUAACCCUGAGCCUGCUUCCGAUACGGGCAGACUAGAGGUAUGCAGGGGAGAACGGAAUUCCUGGUGUAGCGGUGAAAUGCGCAGAUAUCAGGAGGAACACCGGUGGUGUAGACGGCUCUCUGGACCGCGACUGACGCUGAGACACGAAAGCGUGGGUAGCAAACAGG
Molecule: ribosomal RNA, 253 nt
Filed under: uncultured bacterium
Lineage: Bacteria
Description: partial 16S ribosomal RNA
Rfam family: Bacterial small subunit ribosomal RNA
Source: RNAcentral